RNAcentral lists this ribosomal RNA (464 nucleotides) under uncultured bacterium. Its description in RNAcentral is "partial 16S ribosomal RNA". It matches the Rfam family "Bacterial small subunit ribosomal RNA", at positions 338 to 795 of the family's 1533-position model. The record is from RNAcentral.
CCUACGGGGGGCAGCAGUGGGGAAUCUUCCGCAAUGGGCGAAAGCCUGACGGAGCAACGCCGCGUGAUCGAAUGAAGGCCUUCGGGUUGUAAAGAUCUGUUGACAGGGACGAAUAAGGCAUGCGAAUAGUUUGGUGUAUGACGGUACCUUUUUAGAAAGCUACGGCUAACUGCGUGCCAGCAGCCGCGGUAAUACGUAGGGAGCAAGUGUUGUACGGAAUUACUGGGCGUAAAGGGCGCGUAGGUGGGUGCUUAAGUAAGGUGUGAAAACUCUGGGCUCAACCUGGAGACUGCACUUGAAACUGGGUAUCUUGAGGGAAGGAGAGGAAAGUGGAAUUCCUAGUGUAGCGGUGAAAUGCGUAGAUAUUAGGAGGAACACCAGUGGCGAAGGCGACUUUCUGGACUGUACCUGACGCUGAGGCGCGAAAGCGUGGGUAGCGAACGGGAUUAGAUACCCUAGUAGUC